RNAcentral lists this ribosomal RNA (255 nucleotides) under uncultured bacterium. Its description in RNAcentral is "partial 16S ribosomal RNA". It matches the Rfam family "Bacterial small subunit ribosomal RNA", at positions 524 to 777 of the family's 1533-position model. The record is from RNAcentral.
UACGGAGGGUGCGAGCGUUGUCCGGAAUCACUGGGCGUAAAGGGCGCGUAGGCGGCCUGAUAAGUAGGGGGUGAAAUCCUGCGGCUUAACCGCAGGGCUGCCUUCUAAACUGUCAGGCUUGAGCACAGUAGAGGCAGGUGGAAUUCCCGGUGUAGCGGUGGAAUGCGUAGAGAUCGGGAAGAACAUCAGUGGCGAAGGCGGCCUGCUGGGCUGUUGCUGGACGCUGAGGCGCGACAGCGUGGGGAGCAAACAGGG